GGGCCCUUAGCUCAGUGGUAGAGCAGAGGACUCAUAAUCCUUUGGCCGCAGGUUCGAAUCCUGCAGGGCCCACCA
RNAcentral lists this transfer RNA (75 nucleotides) under Bacillota bacterium. RNAcentral describes it as "Firmicutes bacterium (anaerobic digester metagenome) tRNA-Ile". It matches the Rfam family "tRNA". From Rfam's summary of the family: Transfer RNA (tRNA) molecules are approximately 80 nucleotides in length. The record is from RNAcentral. Lineage: Bacteria; Bacillati; Bacillota.